This is a long non-coding RNA of Physeter macrocephalus (sperm whale), 5040 nucleotides long. RefSeq lists it as uncharacterized. Lineage: Eukaryota; Metazoa; Chordata; Mammalia; Artiodactyla; Physeteridae. The record is from RefSeq and is a predicted model, not a curated record. The transcript is spliced from 3 exons.
ACAGGCUCCGGACGCACAGGCUCAGCGGCCAUGGCUCACGGGCCUAGCCGCUCCACGGCAUGGGGGAUCUUCCCGGACCGGGGCUCGAACCUGUGUCCCCUGCAUCGGCAGGUGGACUCACAACCACCGCGCCACCAGGGAAGCCCUACACUUUGAGUUUUCAGGGGGAUUUCUUGAGGAUGAAAGAUCCGGCUGCUCUGUGGUUGUAACUCCCAGAUCCAGGAGGCUCUGUGAUUAGAUAAGGCUUGGUAUUCCCCAGGGAGUUUCUGCUUCCAAAAGGGCCUAUUGAUUCUAGAGAAUCAAGUUAUAGCUGGAGUAGCUGUACAAUUUCUUAUUCCAAUAAUCCAGGAAAGUCUCCCAAAACUGGGUCAAAAAUGCUCCCACCACAGAAGAUAGGUUCUUUCUCCCAUACGGUGCUAGAGAGAGGCACCAUAAACUCUCUCUACCUCUUUUUUCAUUUCUUUUUUUCUAUCUCUAUAGUGUUUUCUUUUUUAUAGUCUGUGCAGGCAGUGACACUUCCAUUACUCUAACGUCACUUGAAUUGUUCAAAUUCCAGGAGGGUUGAUCAGAAUCCAUUUCUGUUUAGUUAACUAGCAGGCCUGAGGAUACAUUUUGAACACUGUGACUGUGGUUACUUUCUCAACUCCUCCACGAACUGUACAAAUCAGCUCUUAGGAAGGAUUGCUUUUGCAAGUGGGUCAUCUCAAUCAUUUUGCAUUUAUUCUUAGUUUGCUAUUCCUGGAGCAUGUACCAAGGGUCAAGCUAAGUGCUUUCCUUACAUUAUUCAGUAUAAUCCUUAUGACACCCUUUCAAAUAGAUACUUUUAUUUCCCCAUUUUACGAUUAACUUAAGAGAGUUGGGUGCUGAUAGAGUUGGACCUCAAACACAGAUCUGAGUCCAGAAGAACAAGCUUUUACAAACUCCUUCCUCAGCUCAGAAGAUGAUGUAAUUCUGAUCUUACCCCCAAUCCCAGGCUGGGUCUUGUGGUACGCAGGACCUUAGUUCCCUGACCAGGGAUUGAACCCGUGCCCCUGCAGUGGAAACGCAGCGCCUUAACCACUGGAUUGCCAGGGACGUCCCCAGUUUCUUUAUUUUAGAGUGGCUUACCAAGUUCCUCUAAAAGUAUGAUGUCAACAUGAUUUAUGAGUCAUCUGAACUUGGGGUCUCAUCCUUACCUGCUCUCAGAGACCUUCCUUCAUCAGUGGUCCCUGCUCCUCUCUACUGGCUCUUUGUCAUAUUCAUUUAAACAUAACCACUUCUUUUUUCAUAUUAAAGAAAAAAAAAAUCCCCGAAUCAGGGAUUUUAGGCUUCAAGUUACCCAACAGUUUCUACCUUCGUCCUUGCAUUUUUUUGCUUCGCAGGUAAGUAUAGAUGUUGUCUGCACGCACAGUCUCCACUCCCCAGGUUGGCUCCAUCUGUUCUCGUUCACACUCCAGAGCACUGCGGUCAGGCUUCUGUCUCCAUCACUCUACAGACAUUACUCUCAACAAGGUCACUCCUUUCUUUUUUUUUUGCGGUACGCGGGCCUCUCACUGGCGCGGCCUCUCCCGUUGCAGAGCACAGGCUCCGGACGCGCAGGCUCAGCGGCCACGGCUCACGGGCCCAGCCGCUCCGCGGCGUGUGGGAUCCUCCCAGACCGGGGCGCGAACCCGCGUCCCUUGCAUCGGCAGGCGGACUCUCAACCACUGCGCCACCAGGGAAGCCGGGUCACUCCCUUCUUAAAACCAUGUGAUGACUCCAGAUUUUCCUCGGGACGAAGUCCAAACUCCUUAAAAUGGCAUGUGGUCAUUUGCAGCCUUCCCUCCCGUCUCUCCCUUUUCUGCCUGCACACCUCCCCCCUGCCUGCUGCUCGCUCCCCACACCCGCACACACUGUGAGUCCCCACCCCACAGGACUGCUCGGGGUUCCCCAGAAGCAUCAUACUUCCACCUCUAGGCAGUGAUGCUCUGAAGUGGUUUGCACCCGCUUGUGAGAGUUUGGUGUACAUUUCUUCCCAAUUAUGUGUUUGGUGAUGUCCUGUUGGUAGCCUAAAGUCGGCCGUGGUGGGAGUAUUUAUAUCAAGGAAAUGGGCAAAUUCUACAAACUAGGGCCUUCUUGCCUACCUCUAGAGAGAUGGCUGUUAAAUAUCUACCACACACCAUUGCUUCUAGGCCUGUGCACAUAUGUUCUCCCCUCCAGCCCAGCUUGGCUCAGCUUAAAUGUCCCUUCCUUUUGGAAGCUUCUCCUGACUCUUCAAGAUUGGGAUAGAGGGACUUCCCUGGUGGUCCAGUGGUUAAGACUCUGCGCUCCCAACGCAGGGGGCCUGGGUUCGAUCCCUGGUCAGGGAACUAGAUCCCGCAUGCCACAGCUAAGACCUUGUGCAGCCAAAUAAAUAAAUAAAUAUUAAAAAAAAAAAAAAAAAAGAUUGGGAUAGCUGCCCUUCUCUGUGAUUCUAUGGAAACUUGGGCAGCACCCUUCCCCCAUCCGCCUCCCCAUGGCAUGUAUCGUACUGAUUUUUUCUGUAUCCUAUACUGACCAAGUGAAGUCUUUGAGGUCAGGGAAGGCUUCAAGGUGUGGUCCUCCAGUCAGCAGUGAGAUCAUCACUGGGGGAGCUGGUUAGAAAUGCAGACUCUCAGGCACACCCCAGACUGAUUGAAUCAGAAACUGCAUUUUAACAAGAUCUCCGGGGACUGAGUGCAUUUAAAUUUAAGGUGCACUGCCUUAGGGGCCAUCUCAUCAUUUUUCAAAUGGAAAAACAAAACAUCAGGGGCCUUGUCUUAUUCAUUGCCAUUGUUCUCCACCUGGGAUAGUGUUUGGCACGUAGCAAGGUGCCACAUCAUAUUUUGAAAUGAAGCAGUACGUGAGUAAUUGAAAUGCUUAGCCCUCUCUAUUAAACAAGAAGCUUUUUAGGGUUCAAGAAUGUGUCUUCAUCUUUGCAUCCCCUAGAUUUCCUCAUACACAUCAGCAUUCAGUAGAAAAUGGAAUAGGAUGAAUGAACUAGGCUUGAGUGCACUUUUGCUGAUCCUAAAACUAGAGCCCAAUUUAAGAUAUUCAUCCUAGAAGUGAGGCAAUGACCUUUGAAGUUAUGGGUCUGUAGAAUCCAAACCUGGAGUUUUGAAAUAUGUCACCAGAAACUUAAGAUUUUUCCUAGCCAUCAACCAGCUGCAAUGUUCUACUCUUAUUUCCUCGUUUCUCCUAAUACAGUGAUGCCAAGCUUACCCCACCUCCUUCUUUCCUCUUCCUUUAGCUACAGCGUCCACACGCUACUUGCUCACAGACUCACAUGCACGUUGAACACGACGUAGAGUAGGAGAGCUGUGCAGUGCGGUGGAAGGCACUUGGCAUUUAGUCAGGGGACGCUGGCUGUGUUCCUGCCUGUCACAACCUUUCUGGAGCCUUCGUCUUUUCCUCUGCAAUGGGGAAAAUGAUAUCUUCCCUAUCUAAUUCACCACGUUUUUGUAGGAUCAAAUGAGUUAACAUAGGUGAAAGUGCUUUUAUACAUUGUAAAGCACUGCAUAGAGUAGAUGCAAAAUCUCUCAGACAAAUGGAUCUCAAGCACACGCUAUGGUUUAGUAACGCCCUAGCACGUGGAAUAUGCAAGGAGAUAAAAGAAUGUGCCAGUAUGGAAGGGUAUAGAAAUCUAGAGGUUAUUUAUUUGGGGAACAGGAUGCCUUACCUGUGUCCAGGCAUGUAAUUAGAUAAAGAUUGUGGUUUUGCAUUGCAAAGACAUAAAAAUAAAACAUUGGCUUCGUAUCAGAUGUCACCUAGGAAAUCUGGGGUGAUUCCGUCUGAGAUGCCAGGUGUGCUAUUAAUCAGCAAUAAAAAACAGUUAAUCUAAGAAGCAAAUGAUAAGGACAUGUUGGUGGCUGAUAACUGGAAAAACAGUUUCAUUCCCUAAUAGGAUCUGAUAGGCUCCAGCUAAUCUAGAUGCAAAAAAAUAGAUCAAUACCAAGCAAGAGUUCCUUUCAAAUAGACAGCUACCAGUGAAUAUUGCAAACUGCAAGCAUUGUUCGCCAGUUUCUUAGUGUUGGGACAUCCCUUGCAGAUGUUAAUAAUUACCUACCCACAAUAGGAAGGCUCCAUGGUGUGGUCUUCCAAUCAGCAGCCCGGGCAUCUCCUGGGGAGUUGGUCAGAAAUGCAGACUCUCAGGGCCACCCCAGACCUGUUGAAUCAGAACCUGCAUUUUAACAAGAUCUCCAGGGAUUGGGUGUAUUUAAAUUUAAGGCAGACUGCCUUAGGGACCAUCUAAUAAUUUUUCAAAUGGAAAAACAAAAAAUCAGGACUUUAAGGGUGAUUUUUUUCCCCUCAAGGUCUAAUAGGCACAGGAGGCAGAGCCUGGAUUAGAAAAAAAAGUUUUCCGACUCUGUUGGCGGUUCCACCAUUGCUCACCACCUCACGGCCUGGUUCUUCAGCUUCUGGCUGUGAGGCUUAGGGCAAGUUACUGAACCUCUCUGAGUCUGUUUGCUCAUCUGUGAGAUGGAGAUGGUAGCAAUGUCUACCUCACAGAACUGUGAGGUUUAACACAGAUUAGAAAAUCUCUGAACAUUUUGUCCAAGGCAUAAUUCACAUGAAAAGGUUUAUUAUUCUCUAAUGAAAAGGCAGACAAUGUUCCACAUAAUUUAAACAGUAGAAGUAAAUUUUUUAUGGCACACAGAAGCAGAUUGUUAUUUAUAACUCUGAAAAUCUUCAUGCCUUGACAGUAAUGUUUGGAAAACAGUUAUUUUUCCUUUUAAUCUUUCCUAUUUUCCAGUGAAGAAGCUUAUAUAAGCUACCCUGCAGAGGUGCUCUGCUAGUCACUGUAAUUUAAUCAUCUUGAAGGUUAGGCUGACUUCUGUUAUUAUGAAAAUUGUGAACCCGGGCCAAAUUCAACCUUUGGAAUAGGCACCCACAUAUGUAAUUAAAGAACCUGACUCACUGACCUACUUUCUUGGCCACCAAAACAGGAAGAGACUGCAUUUCCUAGUGUUCUCCGCCAUCUAGUGGCCAAACAUGGUACAUGGCUCAAUUUUCGGUUACAGAGAAAUUAUCGGGAAUUCUACAAUAGGUUUUCACGUCUUAAAC